Harmonia axyridis is the source of this 74-nucleotide non-coding RNA. The record is from the annotation of a RefSeq genome assembly. Lineage: Eukaryota; Metazoa; Arthropoda; Insecta; Coleoptera; Coccinellidae.
UUCUCGGUAGCUCAGUUGGCGAGAGCACUGGACUUGUGAUUCGGAGAUUGCGGGUUCGAGUCCCGCUCUAGGAG